Molecule: ribosomal RNA, 301 nt
Filed under: uncultured bacterium
Lineage: Bacteria
Description: partial 16S ribosomal RNA
Rfam family: Bacterial small subunit ribosomal RNA
Source: RNAcentral
CAGUCGCCGCGGUAAUACGGAGGGUGCAAGCGUUAAUCGGAAUUACUGGGCGUAAAGCGCACGCAGGCGGUCUGUCAAGUCGGAUGUGAAAUCCCCGGGCUCAACCUGGGAACUGCAUCCGAAACUGGCAGGCUAGAGUCUUGUAGAGGGGGGUAGAAUUCCAGGUGUAGCGGUGAAAUGCGUAGAGAUCUGGAGGAAUACCGGUGGCGAAGGCGGCCCCCUGGACAAAGACUGACGCUCAGGUGCGAAAGCGUGGGGAGCAAACAGGAUUAGAUACCCCGGUAGUCCCUGUCUCUUAUAC